Molecule: ribosomal RNA, 284 nt
Filed under: uncultured bacterium
Lineage: Bacteria
Description: partial 16S ribosomal RNA
Rfam family: Bacterial small subunit ribosomal RNA
Source: RNAcentral
UUGCCCUACGGGGGGCAGCAGUGGGGAAUAUUGCGCAAUGGGCGAAAGCCUGACGCAGCGACGCCGCGUGAGGGAUGAAGGUCUUCGGAUCGUAAACCUCUGUCAGCAGGGAAGAACGGUGACUGUGCUAAUCAGCAGUGAAUUGACGGUACCUGCAAAGGAAGCACCGGCUAACUCCGUGCCAGCAGCCGCGGUAAUACGGAGGGUGCGAGCGUUAAUCGGAUUUACUGGGCGUAACGCGCUCGUAGGCGGUAUGUCAUGUCAAGGGUGAAAUCCCGGCGCUC